Long non-coding RNA from Notolabrus celidotus (New Zealand spotty), 347 nucleotides. RefSeq lists it as uncharacterized. Lineage: Eukaryota; Metazoa; Chordata; Actinopteri; Labriformes; Labridae. The transcript is spliced from 3 exons. The record is from RefSeq and is a predicted model, not a curated record.
AGACUGGUCAUUUAACCUCAGCUUUAAAAUAAAAGUCAUUUUCCUUAAUUGUCUUCCAUGAGAGCCACUAACCAUAGCUGAAGGAGGUUCUUCAUCAACCUUUCUCACAGAUGCUUCCUGUGAGAAUACCUGAGCCAAACAGAUGUGUGACGUAAAGUAGCCGAGCUGUCAGACUCGAGGAGAGAUGGUUUCUGAUUGACACCCCUUCAGGCAAAAGGCAUCAUGGGAAGCUCUCUGCAGACUUGAGCUGUGCCUGCGCAGAGAGAAAAUAUGGCUACUCUUUUGACUGGUGCAACAUUUGAUUUGUGAUCAAAGAUUUUACGUUAUUUCUAAAAAAAAAUUUAAAG